Long non-coding RNA from Phacochoerus africanus (Common warthog), 869 nucleotides. RefSeq lists it as uncharacterized. The transcript is spliced from 3 exons. The record is from RefSeq and is a predicted model, not a curated record. NCBI's taxonomy places the organism in Eukaryota, Metazoa, Chordata, Mammalia, Artiodactyla, Suidae.
UCUGCAGUGGUACAGUGGAGAUUUUAAGGCGCAGUGCUGUGUUUUAAUAGACUAUUAAACUACAGCAUUACACAUUAGCUGCCUAUGGCACAAGUGCAGAAAUAUCGAAGACAUGCUCUGGGGAAAGCACUGUUUGCUUUAAUGGGGAGAUGCUGCGCUAGACUGAAAAUCUCUGCAAAGGGUCGGGGGUGGGGUGGGGGAGUACCCAAGGGCUGUGACCUUGGCUGAAGCAAACCUUCUUCUCCUUCCCAGUCCCUGAGCCUCGGACAGCAUGUCCCGGCCCGCUCGUCACCAACGCAGCACCGGAUGGCUCCUUGCUCCCUGUUAAGGAAGCUUCUGGCCAAGGGCUCAAGAAGCUAUCUAAUGACCGCCCAUGAUGGAAAGAGACGAAAAUGUACCUCUCCACCCUGGUUAUCCCCUUGCUUCUUAAAUUGGCUCAACAUCUCUAGCAUCCUCUACUUUCCUGCUGACGUCAGCACCUCUCACUGGAGUUCCAGAGGGACCUGACUUGGGUGGGAAGACAGAUGGGGACUGCAAGUUGGACCCAAAGAGGACUGCUCUGUUACCAACAAAAUGAGACACAACUCUCAUUUUUAUCCCCUGAAAUUGUUCCUCCUUGCAAUUAAACCAAUCUCUGUUUACAAGUAUUUAGCACGAUUCUAGAAAUUACAUUUUGAAAUUAUGCGAACAGAGAGAGAAGGCAACCCACACAGUGAGCGAUUUCUUGUGGAUAAUUGGCUGCUGGUUCUGGCUCCAAUGAUGCCUUCUCUUUUAGAACAUAAUAGUGAUUUCAAAGAAAACUGUUAGAAAUGGCCCAGGUCUUUAAAGAAAGGCUUUUCCAGUUCUUAGCAUUAGGAGAGCUACUCAAA